Molecule: RNA transcript, 1358 nt
Organism: Periophthalmus magnuspinnatus
Lineage: Eukaryota; Metazoa; Chordata; Actinopteri; Gobiiformes; Gobiidae
Exons: 6
Source: RefSeq, a predicted model, not a curated record
CUCUCAGCUUGAGCUAUUUAAACGCUGCACCAUUCCAGAAAGUUGAGAUUUAUGGACACUAAAUGCUAAACCAAGCUUUCAUUUCAAAAGUAUUCUGACUUGAGUAUUACAAAAAUGCAUUUGCCAGGAGUGAUCCAGCAGCUUAUGUGGUUGUUCCACAGCUCUUUUGUUUUCCUAUUUACAUUAUUUUUCUUGAUGUUUCACUAUGGGCUUUUUUAUGGACGAAGAUCACAGUCCCAGGAUAAUGGAGGGAUGUGUGUUGGUGGGGCAUCCCCCACGCUUCACAAAUGCGCACCGACCACCCUGAUGUGUAAACGUGGGACAUGCGUAAAACUAACCAAAAAGACUGGGUUGAAGUUGGAAGCGAUGUUCGUCCAAGACGGAGCCAUCAAGAGAGACCUGGUGAUAUGGAAAAUUGGCAACAGAAUUGCAUUACUUUUUCAGUAUGGUAGCAGUGAAACCUACGUGGUGACAGUGAAACAAAGUAAACUGGAGGCUACUGCAUAUAAUCCAAUACAAACAGGCGUGGACUCUCCUAUACUCCCACACCCUAAAGAACAGGGGUGACUGGCUCCAGCUCCGCCCUGAACAGGUGCAGUAAAACAUUUAUUUAUGGAUUAAAAUGCACAAGAUUUUUUUUUUAAAGAUUAUUUUUAACACUGUGGUUUCUGUAAUGUUUUACUUGAAUAUCAGACGAUUUAUUCAUUACUUAUUGUGUUAGGAUUUAUCUGAGAGCCAGGUGCAGUCAUCAAAAGAGCCACAUCUGGCUCACGAGCCAUAGGUUCCUGACCCCUGAUCUAAUCUGCGGUGGAAGCUGACCCCGUUGAUACAAACCAAAGAUGAAGCCAUUAUUAAGGAACAUAUCCAGAAUUUGGAGCCUUGGUUUCAAAUAGAAAAUGUUCAAAAUCACUACUUCUGUAUCCGGGCAGAAAACUGUAAUAAAUAUGUAACACUAUUUCGGGAAGGGAGGGCCUCAUACCUGACUCUUAGUGAUGAGCAAGACCUGACCAGCACCUUUAUAAUAUCUCCAUAUACCAUGUAAUGACAAUGAGCGAACUGGGGUGUAACUCUCCAGCAACGGGCCAGUGUGAGAUGGUGACAACUAAAAAGACAAUAAGCCUGCUAUUAGAGAUGACCAAAGUCAACAAUGACAUGAAUAAUAUGGGCGUUCACUGCUCCAACAAUUAUUAAAUAUUAACGGCAGCGUCAGCAUUCUGAUAACGCUGAAUCUGUGGAUAGAUAUUUAUCAGAAUGUGGGAACAAAAAAAUAUCUGUAAAAAUGUUCAAUUCAGUGUAAUAUUUUGAUAAAGCAUGGAGACCCUACAUGUUUGUUAUUCUUAUUAUUUGCUAAAUGCAGG